RNAcentral lists this ribosomal RNA (424 nucleotides) under uncultured bacterium. RNAcentral describes it as "bacterial SSU rRNA". It matches the Rfam family "Bacterial small subunit ribosomal RNA", at positions 355 to 776 of the family's 1533-position model. The record is from RNAcentral.
UGAGGAAUAUUGGACAAUGGGUGAGAGCCUGAUCCAGCCAUCCCGCGUGCAGGAAGACGGCCCUAUGGGUUGUAAACUGCUUUUCUACGAGAAUAAACCACCUUACGUGUAGGGUGUUGAAGGUACCGUAGGAAUAAGCACCGGCUAACUCCGUGCCAGCAGCCGCGGUAAUACGGAGGGUGCAAGCGUUAUCCGGAUUUAUUGGGUUUAAAGGGUCCGCAGGCGGACUUGUAAGUCAGAGGUGAAAGCCGGCAGCUCAACUGUCGAACUGCCUUUGAAACUGCAAGUCUUGAGUGAGGUUGAAGUAGCUAGAAUGAGUAGUGUAGCGGUGAAAUGCUUAGAUAUUACUCAGAAUACCAAUUGCGAAGGCAGGUUACUAAGUCUUAACUGACGCUGAGGGACGAAAGCGUGGGGAGCGAACAGG